UACGUAGGGGGCAAGCGUUGUCCGGAUUUAUUGGGCGUAAAGAGCGUGUAGGCGGUUUGGUAGGUCCGUUGUGAAAACUCGAGGCUCAACCUCGAGACGCCGAUGGAAACCAUCAGACUAGAGUCCGGAAGAGGAGAGUGGAAUUCCUGGUGUAGCGGUGAAAUGCGCAGAUAUCAGGAAGAACACCCGUGGCUAAGGCGGCUCUCUAGUACGGUACUGACGCUGAGACGCGAAAGCGUGGGGAGCGAACCGG
This 253-nucleotide ribosomal RNA is filed under the name uncultured bacterium. RNAcentral's name for it is "partial 16S ribosomal RNA". It matches the Rfam family "Bacterial small subunit ribosomal RNA", at positions 524 to 776 of the family's 1533-position model. The record is from RNAcentral.